Molecule: unclassified non-coding RNA, 1608 nt
Filed under: Hevea brasiliensis (rubber tree)
Lineage: Eukaryota; Viridiplantae; Streptophyta; Magnoliopsida; Malpighiales; Euphorbiaceae
Source: RNAcentral
AAAUUUUUAAAAAUUUAUUUCUUAGCAGCAAUUUCAACGAUAAUACACCUAAAAAACAAACAACAACUGAUACAUAGACAUUAUAAUACAUGUAAUGAACUUCUGGCACUAAGCAUCCAAAAAAUUGGUGUUGCAAUUAUCAAUUACCACUGAUUAUAUACAAGCCUAAGGUUACUUCUCCUCCCCCCAAGCAUACCUAAAACACAACCCCAAAAAGAAAAAUAUAUUGAAUGUUACUACUUAUGCUAAAAAUUCUUCUAGCAACACCACAAGCGUGGAGAGUUCUCAACUUGUCCACAAACUUGUCAAGAUUCUUCAGGACUAUACAUCAUCUGCAACAAAAACUCCUUGCGCUCCACAGCUGGGCAACCAAAGAAUGCCCUUACCCUCCCAGCAUUUGCGAUGAGGAAAGUAUAUGCCUUGUACCGCAAAUGCCUUUCAACUCCAAUCUUCAUCAAUUCUGCAAAUACUUCUUGCUCUGAGUAAACACGGGGGCGUCCUCUUUCUGCAAUAAUGUUCCCCUCCCUAAUUGCAUCUGCAACAUCUUUAAUUGCUUCCCUUAUGUUUUUAAACUCUCUCUCAAACAUAUCAACUUUUGGAGCCAUCCGUUUUUUGCCUUUCAGUGAUGUUGCAGACUGUGAAUGUGCUUGAGAAUCUGCCUGAGAAUUUGCUUCAACAGGAGUUGCUAGUUGACUUGUACCAUCAUUAAUCUCAUUUAAAUCUUCCAGAUCAAGAUGAAGUGCAGUCUCAUUUUGCCUGUCAGUACCAUCAAAAUAGCGGCCACUUCCAGAAAUAGCCAAUUGGCCUGCUUUCUGCUUUGCAUUAUUAUCACCAUUAGAUUUUGUCCUCUCUUUAGCGAAAAGUAAUACCAACUUAUCAUAAUGGGCAAUUUGUGUGGUCAUCCACUUUUUUGCUUCAGGUUUUGCCUUUACAAAUGCUUUCCAAGCUUCAGGCUUUCCACUAAACAUUUUUGUUUCUGGACUCCAUACAAAACCACUCGCACCACUAAAAAGGUCGAAGCACUCCUUAAAAUUGUUUUUGAGGCUUUUCAAACGAUUCUUCAGGUGAUCUUUCUGAAAUGGCAUGCCAAUCUUUUCACGCAAUUCUUUCAACAUAUUAUCAUAUGCUGCUGUUGUGAAAACAUUAUCAACCCUGUUUCCCAGCCUUUGUUGAUGAACAAGUGCAUCAAUGAAGGCAUCAUCCAUACGUUCUGUCCAUUUAAACACAUCCCUCUUAGCCACAUUAGUCUUCUUUGAUUUAUUAGCCAUUUCCCUAACCUGUGAAUUGACAUACAAGAUAAACAACAAAAGCAGUUAAAUCACUGAUUUUCACCUUUAGAUACAUAAAAUGACAACUUGAUACAGAACUUAUAAAGGCUAUUAAAGUGUGGUUCAAGAAAUAAUGUAAUGAUAUAAAAAAAAUUACAAACAUUUAGACAAGAAAGACUUGUGGUUGCGUCAAAACAACAGUAUAAAAUUUAGCUAUGAAGGUUUCCUGCAUCAAAGCAGUUUCAUUAGCAGCAUAAAAUUCUCCUCCCUGGCCCCUGCAGCCCUGCCCUUGCCCUACUGCAAGUAUACUCUUUCCCCAAUCCACAAUUCAAGUAAGGGC